RNAcentral lists this ribosomal RNA (565 nucleotides) under Saccharomycopsis selenospora. RNAcentral describes it as "eukaryotic LSU rRNA". It matches the Rfam family "Eukaryotic large subunit ribosomal RNA", at positions 62 to 648 of the family's 3401-position model. The record is from RNAcentral. Lineage: Eukaryota; Fungi; Ascomycota; Saccharomycetes; Ascoideales; Saccharomycopsidaceae.
AAACCAACAGGGAUUGCCUUAGUAACGGCGAGUGAAGCGGCAAAAGCUCAAAUUUGAAAUCUAACACUUUCAGUGUUCGAGUUGUAAUUUGAAGAAAGUUUCUCUGAGUAGUCCUUUAUCUAUGUUCCUUGGAACAGGACGUCAUAGAGGGUGAGAACCCCGUAUGAUUUUGGAUACUAUUCUUUGUGAGAUUCUUUCGAAGAGUCGAGUUGUUUGGGAAUGCAGCUCUAAGUGGGUGGUAAAUUCCAUCUAAAGCUAAAUAUUGGCGAGAGACCGAUAGCGAACAAGUACAGUGAUGGAAAGAUGAAAAGAACUCUGAAGAGAGAGUGAAAAAGUACGUGAAAUUGCUGAAAGGGAAGGGCUUUAGGUUAGACUUGGUGUUUAAUGAUUAUCUUCCCUUCUGGGUUGUGCACUCGUUUUUCACUGGGCCAAUAUCAGUUUUGGAGACAAAGUACCUUUUGGAAUGUGGCUUUCUUCGGGAAGUGUUAUAGCCUUAAGACGAUUUGUUUCUGGGACUGAGGACUGCGCUUUGUGCUAGGAUAUUGGCGUAAUAACCUUAAGCCGC